GCCAUUGCUGCUGUGGUCUUGGUGUUACCUCAGAGCAGGAGCCCUGCAAGGAAGAAAUGGGAGGAGCAGGGGAAUGAGGCCCCUGUGUGUGCACGUCAGAAGACUUUGCACAGAAAAGCAAAAAGGAUGUUAAAAGCAAAAAGGAUGUUAAAAGCAAAAGGUGCUGCUUGGAGCCAUGUGCACUGAAAAUGAAGCAGACACAGAUUCCUGUGCAUGGCAGGCUGAGGAUUCCAGGGUCCCAAGAGAUACUAUCAAAAGGUGUGGUGCCCUGAUUGGAGUCUAGCGAGAAAGUAACACUCUUAUUCACCCUCCCACCCAGCCACCCACCUUUGCAGAUGGGCUGAGGGUCUCUCCUUUGCUUCAUGACUGAAAGUCCUUGAUUCACCCUCACCCAGCACUAAUUGUGUUGCUGCCUCCUGGAAGUUCCCAUGUUGGCAUCAGAGUGUUGAGCCUAGAACUCACUGCUAAGGUUAAUUGCAAAGUAAGAGCAUGAUUUCUUGAUGUCUGUUUUAUAUUCAGUUAGUUAGUACUCGAUAUCAUUUCCUUGUGAUUUUUUAAAUGAUCAUUAAAAUGUUCCUAAUUGCUGUUACCCUGUCAUGCUCUUAUUUCUCAGCAGCUGUUUGCAUGCAGCCUUCCCAUUAAGCUAGAAAUCAGCCC
Molecule: long non-coding RNA, 657 nt
Filed under: Parus major (Great Tit)
Lineage: Eukaryota; Metazoa; Chordata; Aves; Passeriformes; Paridae
Description: lncRNA (ENSPMJG00000003600.1)
Source: RNAcentral